AUUUGAUGGUUUCCUGCAAAUGACGGAAUGUUGCUGUGGAGAAAUGUUGCGAGUGUUUCAGAUAUUUGCAUCUAAUGGUUUCCUUCAAAUGACAGAAUGUUGCCAUAGAGACAUAUCACGAAGGCAUUGCAGGUAGAAGGAUGAAAUCAACAGAUCAAUGUCCAAGCUUUGAUUUGGUCUCAGAAAAACCAUGGUCAUUAUCAGGGUCAAGUUAUUUGCGCCUUCCAAAAGAUUAUCAUUGGAAUCAGACUGAUAGAGAGGUUCCCAUCAUUUGUGGCAGUGUUUCCCAUCUUUUGUGAUGUUACCAUACAAAGGGAAAUCUCAUGGGCUUCCAGGUUCCAGCAAAUGCUCUUAGACUUCAAUCCUUUUUUUAUUGAAG
Molecule: long non-coding RNA, 379 nt
Organism: Lolium rigidum
Lineage: Eukaryota; Viridiplantae; Streptophyta; Magnoliopsida; Poales; Poaceae
Exons: 3
Source: RefSeq, a predicted model, not a curated record